GCUUAGCUGAGGAGUCCCACAAUAGGAUGAAACGGCCGUCCUAUGC
This 46-nucleotide non-coding RNA is filed under the name Schistosoma mansoni. The record is from RNAcentral. Lineage: Eukaryota; Metazoa; Platyhelminthes; Trematoda; Strigeidida; Schistosomatidae.